CUCGUAGGCGGUAUGUUGCGUCCGCGGUGAAAUCUCGGGGCUUAACCCCGAGCCUGCCGUGGAUACGGGCAGACUAGAGGUAGGUAGGGGAGAAUGGAAUUCCUGGUGUAGCGGUGAAAUGCGCAGAUAUCAGGAGGAACACCGGUGGCGAAGGCGGUUCUCUGGGCCUUACCUGACGCUGAGGAGCGAAAGCGUGGGGAGCGAACA
Molecule: ribosomal RNA, 207 nt
Filed under: uncultured bacterium
Lineage: Bacteria
Description: partial 16S ribosomal RNA
Rfam family: Bacterial small subunit ribosomal RNA
Source: RNAcentral